UUGCCUAAGAGGUAAGCACUAUUGAUUUCUUUUGUGGUCAUUUGUUAGUUUAGUUUUUACGAAACUGGGCUGAGCCGUGCAGGUUGGGGUAGGCUGUGCAGUGGUAGCUCCCUUAGUGAGUAACAAGGUGGAAAUUUGCUUACAGCGUUGGACAAACGACUUCUGUCAAUCUCUUACCUCUUUCCCACACUCCCCUCUGGCAAAGGGCAUCAUGUUACCCUUUUAUUUUUUCCAUACAAGCUGCCUGGUUCUUGCUAUCCGGGGCCAUGGCAUUUUGUAAAGCUCUCCUCUAUUUUGGUUGAAUUGUGCCUAUUCCCCAAACUCCAGUCAUUUGGAUGCUAGAAAAAAAUUUAACUUGUUUCUCUAGAUUCCAGCCUUUCUCUACCCUGUGUACCCCAUGUUGUGGCCGGUGAGGAAGGUGGUUACUGAUCACGUGACAUUCUUUAUCUGAGUACUCACUGGCCACCCCUUAGCAACAGAGGACUUUGGACCAGAGAGAGAGAGGAGAAGAGAAACUUUCAAAUUCUCCCAAUUCUCCCAUCCCCCUUCUUACUGUAAAAACAAUAAGGAUCACCUCCCCCAACUCUGUCACAUGGGUCUGGUCUCUCCUCAGUGCCCUACCUGUCUAGGCAUUGACAUGUCCUCUAAUCUCUUGUAAAAAUGUAAAAAGAACAAUUGGUCUCAGUGACCCCCUUGAGCCCCACACUUGAAGACUUCCAGUUCUAUUAUUCUGCAAUGAAGGGUAAAACUGGCCGAGUCUCCUAGAGCCUCAAGCUCUGUUGCAGUAUAAUAUUCUGCUUCUGGAACCUUCCCGCCUGCAGAAGCCCCCAGCCAGCCUAGCUCUGGCUCACGGAGAGAAGGGUUGAAUGUAAAGAAGUGAAUUAUGUCUACUUUGUGAGGUUGGGUGUAGACUAACCAACCAGCGCUCUUAUGUGUCCACAAAACUUGGUGAUCUUUAUUGACCAACAAAUCAAAUAUUUAUGGAUUCCCUAUUACAUAAAAUAUUAUGCUAGGCAUCUGUGGAGGUUGAAAACAAAUGGACUCUGGACUUUCUUAGUAUUAGAACAUCAGUUUCAUGAUUACCUCAUUUUCAUGACCUCACUUAAACCUUCCAAAGGACCCAACUUCCAACACCACCACACUGGGGGCUCAGGAUAUAAGCUUUAUGAAUUGGGGUGGCGGGGAGACACAAAGGCUGAUCCUGUAACAUGUAAUUUGGAAGGCCUUAAUUCUGUCACGAAAGGGCAAGGACACCAGAGCAUCUUCAGCUUUGCUGUGGGGAGAGGUAUCCCAAGCACUCUAUCGAGUUCAUUAUUUGGUCUUUCAGCUCCUCUAAGGCCAUGAUGAUGUCAACAUCUCCAUCAUGUUUGAAAGGAAAGCUAUGAAUUUAAAACUGGAGUGCUUAUUUUUUUGAGUUCAUGCUUAAAACCUCUCAGAUGCAUUUGAGAAGCACGCAGGCUGCUAUGCAAACCAUGGCUGACCUGUCAGCUAUUGUGACUAGUCUAAUAUGCAGUGUAGAGAGGUCAUGUCUCAAUUCCUUCCCAACUCACUACUUUAUUGAUGCUUUCUUACCCUCCUCAUUUUUUUUCUAUUUAGUAUUUUCCAUGUGUUAUAGUUUGAAUUUUAAACAUUUCCCAAUAGACCCUGUAGUAACAGUUUGGUUCCCUGUGUGGCGCUAUUGGGAGAUGAUAGACUUAGGGUGAGGUAGUAUAUCAUGGUUAGAAUGGUCAGCAGGGCCACACUACUUACUUCAUGGCCAGGAAGUGAGUGAGAGAGGAGACCACAUCCCACAAAAUACCUCCCACUACGCCCUACCUCUUAAACCCCCCAAAGUCCAAAGUGAGCAGAGCCUACUGAUCACAGAGCAAAGCCUUCAGAUCCAUGAGCAGGAAUAAACAUCUUCUCUGUGAUUAUCCAGGUAUUUAUUGUGCUGAUGGGAAACUGACUAAUACAUUGUGUCAUCUUCUAUUUCGUCCCCGCCUCUAUCAUUUUUUUUUUCCUUGCUCAGGAAGACACACAGCAGCAGUGGUGAGUGGUUUCUUUAUUUUUCCACCUCUGUACCAGGAAAAACAAGAUUUGGAACAUACAUCUAAGAUAAGCAGGGCCGGGCGGUAGUCAAACCUUUGUAGAUAAUGUUUCAAGGGAAACAAUGUAGGAGUUUAAACAGGGUGAGUCCUUCUGAGUCAGCUUCAGAGCAGGCUUUUAUUGGGGUGUCUCAAGACACUGCCUGGGCUGCUAAGAAAGACUUCCACAGCCUCAGCAAGAGCCGGUGGCCACGAGCUUCUGAGGCCCUUCCUCCAAGUAAAGCAGCUACCGGGAAAAUUGCAGCGAGGAUAACCCCAUUUUGCAACGUGGAGUUUCUUACAGUAGUUUGUUUUCCAGGGCAGUCUGUCAUGAGCAUGCUGUUCCUGGAGGGAAGCAACCUCAGUCAUAUCAAUAUGGCUGUCUAUGAGAACAUCCACACAACCGAAUGGAAUUACAGAGACAUGCAGAGGGAGGGAUGUCGGGAUUGUCUAGUACACCCUUCAUGAUUCCAGACCUGCGUAAGGAAGGCAAGGCCCCGUUGGCUUCUGUCUGUUGACAGUUGACUGAAAUGCUGGGUGUAUUUCAGGCUUCUUACAUCAUUCAGCAAGGGUUGUUGACUGUCCCUGCUGGAAAGUAGAAAGUCUUUAAAACACGUACUGUAUUUUAUUUUAUUUUUAGUAGGCUGCCUUUGAAAACCGCCUGGUAUUUUAUCAAGUGCUGGGAAUUUGAUAAGCUCAUGGUUCCAUGGGCAGGGUUGGCUUAGGUUUCACAUCUUUAACAGAUACAGUAGCAGAUCUGAAGAUACAAAACAAAGCCUAGAAAAUGUGAUAGCAUCGAAACCUCUUAAGUCAACAAAACUCAGGUUGUGUUUUGUUCAGGGAUCUGAACUGUGUUCCAAAACUUCCGGAAGCAGAAGGAAGCCCAGACUUGUCUAGGCAGUGCUCAGCAGCUACUGUCUUUAGCAUUAUGAUACAUAUCGUGGGAGACAGGGCAAGAGGCCUUAGUGGGCCCAGAAGGGAAGCCGUGUGAUGAUUUGGGUCAGGAAACAAAUUUCUUCCCAUCAUGGUCUUGUUGAAACAUGGCUGUUUCACAUGUUAAGUAUUACCCCAAGAGUGUGGAAGAUAAAGAGUAAUCAUGGAUAUGUUUUAUGAUACGGUAUCUAUUCACUAAAACUUCCUCGAUAGGAAGCCAGGAGACCAAAGAAGCCCUGCCAUGAGGCUAAGACUUCAGAAUCAUCUAAAUGGGAACAUUUUUCACCUGGCUUCUAUCAGUGUUGUGAGUUCAGGGUUUUUCAGGUAUUCGAGGUCCAAGGUUGAAUCUGAGAUAAGUGAAAGUCACGACGGGUCUCCCUCAGCAUCCUGUACCAUUUGUGCUGUGCAUUUAAAAGCAUCCAGGAGAGAGUUCCAAGAGAGUCAGCAGGAAGGUUGAGAAAACACAAGCGGUAGAGACAGACACAGCAGUGGAGACAGACACGGCGGUGGAGACAGACACGGCGGUGGAGACAGACACGGCGGUGGAGACAGACACGGCGGUGGAGACAGACACGGCGGUGGAGACAGACACGGCGGUGGAGACAGACACGGCGGUGGAGACAGACACGACGGUGGAGACAGACACGGCAGGGGUAGAGACACAGGAAGAAGAAGCAUCUAGACGUUCUGAAGGACUCCACAACUCAAGCUCUUGGCUGCCCCAGUCCUUGAGUCUAAUUCAACAUAAAACCAGGCCUUUCUGUGUCCUUGGGGUCAUAGUGCCCCACGUCUACCUGACACAUCGUGACAGUGCAGGAAUACACAGGUCUGAACGAGAGGGACCUUGGAUUCAGGUGACAGAGGUCUGUGAAGAGCUCACCACACCUCUGCUGCUGUAGGAUCUGUAUUUGUAUGUUGGGGUGUCCAGAGCUGGCAAUCACAUACUCUGUGCGGUCGGUGUCUUCUCUCUGUGGUAGGUCUGUGGCUUCUCUGAGAAGCAGAACUUAUUUCAAAGGUGAGUGAAUUCCAAGUCAUUAUGUUCGUAGCUUGUGCCGUGUCUGCAGGCAACACUCAGUGGUGAAAUUCUAAAAGGCAAGACAGCAGCGUCUCCAAAGAGGAAUGCUGUUCGGAAAGGUCAGCAAAGAGGUUUUCCUGCAUCGUGCGGCUGUCAGCACCAGAGAACUGGCUUUUAGAGUCUUCCUGUCACUGCUAUGCAGGUCAGACUGUCCUUUCCACUCCUCAGUGACAUCUAGUUAGUAUGGAAAUAACAAAAACUGUAGCAGGUUCUGGGCUUCCUCUCGUGCAUUGGAUUUUGGAGGGGUAAACUGCCAACGGUUGCUUGGGCUUUCUCUGUUACAGUGACUGACUUGUGGUAUAGGCUCUAGAUGAAAUCCAAAUGAAUUGAGACUAUUAUUUCAGAAAAAGAAUGUUUUGUUUCUCCUUCAUUCCCUUUUUCUCUGCUAGGAAAGAUAGCUGACACCUUGCCACAUACCCAUUUCAAUAUCCAGGCAUGGAUCUCCUCUGUGUGUUCAACUCUUGUUAAGCAUGUGACACUUAAGAUGCUCAUAUUUUCAAGACCUUUAAAAGUGUUCCUUUUACCACUAAUUUGUUUGCAGAACAAUGCAUUGUUUUGAUCACACAAUCACUGCAAAAAUUAAGAAGAGGAAGCAAAAACUGAAACUGGUUAAUAUCACUUUAACGGUAGGCAUGGAGUUGCUCUGGGCAGUAACCUAGGGCAGGCUUUAAUCCCACAGCCAUGUUGUUGGGGCCAAGAGGAUUUUAAUGUUAGGUGUGUCAACACUGUUGCAUGUAGAGGAUGAAACACACACACACACACACACACACACACACACACACACACCACCACCACCACCACCACCACCACCAACAACAACCAUUACCAUCGUCUCACUUAAGAGCAGGAACUGUGCUGUUUACCCCCUUCCUUUCUCUAUAGAGUUUAUUUAUCUCCAUAAUAAUUUAGUGACUUCUUAGUCAGGUCAGGUGCUGUGUUAAUAAGCUUUGUGUCAAUGUGACAAAAUGCCUCAGAAAAUGACCUAAAGAAAGGAAGGUUUAUUUCCGGUUGUGGUAGCAAAGGUUUGGGCUCACGGUUAUCUGGUUCCAUUGCUUGCUUUAGGCUGAGGUGAAGUAGAAUAUUAUGGCAGAGUGUGUUCAGGAAGAAGCAGGGAAGGGAAGGGGAGAGAGAAGGGAGAAAGGUUAGAAGACAAAGUGGGGUAGGGUGUCCAGGGACAAGAUACAAUCCUGAAAGGCAUGGCCCAGGUAAUUGCUUCCUCCAACCAGGAUCCACCUACUAAAACUAGCCCAUUCAGUUGGAGCUCAUCAGCAGGCUAAUCUACUGAGGCACUUAGCAGCUCUGUGAGUCAGUCAAUUCCCAGGAGAGCAAAGCAGCAUCUAAGAACCACGCUCUCACUACAUGAGCCUUUUUGGGGGAUAAUGCAUAUCUGUAGUCGGAAGUUUUUCUGUGUCCCACCUGGCCCGCGGUCGGGACAAAUCUCUCACCCACACAGAUCCAAUAUGACAGUCUUCAUAGUUUGAUGGAGAACUUGUCAUCUUAGUAGUAAUAAGUUUUUGUUUCAGCUUUUCUCAAAGUCUAUUGGAUAUUCACAGUAUUGUCCUCAGUGCAUGGCUGCUCAUGGUGACUCCAUCGGGGAAUUCAGUAGAGAGUGGGUAGGGCCCAGUGACAUGGCUCAGCAGGCAGGGGCACUUGCCAAAGCUUGGUGACUUUGUUGUGAGGUAUUCGCCAGAGAAGACAACUCCCAUGCAGGUUUAAGUCAAUAGAAAGUCUUUAUUAGCCAGCUGGCCACGACACUGGGUGUUUGUGACUCCAAUGCAGCCUAAGCCUUUCUCAAGGUGGGCUUUUAAACACAAAAACAGCAUUAUUGGUUGACCUCAGGUAGCAGGAACAGUUAUUCAGAAGCAGAACUACAGAAGCCAAGAAGCAAGGUUAGCACAUUUAGGGAAUUCUCAGAACCAUGGGCUUGGCUAGGUUUUGUUCUCGUUCUUUGGCAGGUGAUGCUGCCUCCAUGCUGGGCUUCAAGGCCUGAAUGGUACUUACCUCAUGGUAUCAGUUGUUCUAAGGUUUGGGGGCCUACUAAGAUCUGGGGACCUGUUACAACUUGAGUUUGACCCCCCAGGAUCUCCAUAGUGGAGAGGUUUUGUGUUGGUUGUUCUCUGACCUCCAUAUGCUUGCUGCUGCAUGUACAAGCCUACACAUACGUAAACACACACAUGUAAACACACACACACACACACACACACACAUACAUGUUCUUUGAGACAGGUUUCUGUGUAUGUAGCCCUGACUGUCCAGGAGCUUGCUGUGUUGACCAGGCUGGCCUUGAACUCACAGCGAUAAAUACAUCUUUUUAAUAGUCUUAGAAAGUGGGUAGGAAAACUCCUACAAAAUGGCAUCUAACCUUUUUUUGCUAUCUACCCUGAAUCUUGACUUCUCUUUAUCUCGUUUCCUGGAAGAAGGAACUUCCUGUUUUCAGGAAUGCUGACACAAGGCUAACAUUUGGCUUUUCUUCGGCAACAGACUCAGAGACUCUUAAUGCACUACCAGAGGAGAGCCAGGUAUUCAGGUUGGUACCUCCCCGUGUUGGAGGAUGCAUACAAGCCGGUGGCAUCAUCCAUUUUCUAAAUGAUUCUAGAAAUCUGGGAACAUUUAUUUUCUCCAUGUGCAGAGAGAAUGCACAUCCACUGGAGGCAGCUUUGCCCAGGGAUGCUGCUGCUGCUAUUAGUAAGUUUUCAUCUCUCUACCUCCUCCGUCUUCUUUUCCUCCUUACUGCAUCCCUCCCCUCCCAUCUUUACUGCACCUCCCCUCCCAUCCUUACUGCACCUCACCUCCCAUCCUUACUGCACCUCACCUCCCCAUCCUUACUGUACCUCACCUCCCAUCCUUACUGCAUGCCUCCCCUCCCAUCCUUACUGCAUCCCUCCCCUCCCCAUCCUUACUGCAUCCCUCCCCUCCCCAUCCUUACUGCAUCCCUCACCUCCCAUCCUUACUGCACCUCACCUCCCCAUCCUUACUGCAUCCCUCCCCUCCCCAUCCUUACUGCACCUCACCUCCCCAUCCUUACUGCAUCCCUCACCUCCCCAUCCUGACUGCACCUCACCUCCCCAUCCUUACUGCAUCCCUCCCCUCCCCAUCCUUACUGCACCUCACCUCCCCAUCCUUACUGCAUCCCUCACCUCCCCAUCCUGACUGCACCUCACCUCCCCAUCCUUACUACACCUCACCUUCCAUCCUUACUGCACCUCACCUCUCAUCCUUACUGCACCUCCCCUCCCCAUCCUUACUGCAUCCCUCCCCUCCCCAUCCUUACUGCAUCUGUCUCAUACAAACUUACUCUAACUGGUUGUCGGUCUCUCCCAUGGUCUCUGUAUCUCUCUCCACGGCCUCUGAGUCCAUGCACACAGGCGGAAUCUGCUGAAUGUUCUGGUGCUAUCUGAUGAAUUCUUCCUGGCAUUCCAGUACCUCGGCAAUUGGGACAUACUCUAUUGCUACCUUUUCAUCACCCCAGCCUUCAUUUUUGUCAGCAGAGCCAUUUUUCUAUUGCCCCUUAUGCAGAUUUUCUAAGUGUAUGCAUAUCUUUACCUCCCCUUUCUUUCGGCAUCCUUUUUCUCUCCCAAAAGCACCAAAGAUAUAUUGGGCCAAAACCACAGCGAUCCACCCUCUUUGAUCGCCUGCUCUUCUCCUUUGUUAUGCAAUUCUAUUUUCCUGGAAUCUGAGAGAGCUUUGGAAGCCUGAGAAACUUAUUUCAACUUUCUCUUCCUUUCAGAUUGCCAGCACAUUGGUGCUUCAAGACCAGUUUCCAUAAGCCCCUUUCAGGGUUCCCGGAGGGCGCUGAGGUCGACCCCCCAACAGCCACCGUGACUUCUUUCCCCAUUUCCCACAGCUGGGUCCCGUAGUCACCAGUUUCUGAGCAUGCUGGGGCCAGUGGGCAGCUUUCAGGGCAGUGACCCUGCCACUGAAGAAUGACCUGCUGGUCCAACUUGUACAUGCAUAAAAAUAGUGAAAAGAAGUGUGCCUUGAAACACUUGGUCCCUAGCUAAUGGCUCUAUGAUCAAUCAGGAGGACUCUGACUUCGUUAGAGGGUUAAUCCAUCGGUCUGCCGUGAGGGGAACAAUCUCCUCUUUCUACCUCAUCCCAGGCUGAAGACGGCGGAACCAGCAGGCCUCAGAUCAAAACUUCUGAAACCAGGACCCUAAGAGGGGAGCCAUUACUUGCUGUUGUCUGGGACCUCACUCCUGAUGUGUCAGUGAAGAAGGAAGAGGAGAUCGUAUGGAAGAACCUCAUCUGGGGACACCAGAAGCUCUUUCCCUACAUGGAACUCUGAUUUCUGCCUAAGAGUAGGAAAUGGUUAAACUCUGCUUCCUAUCGCUUCCCUAGAUGCGCCUCUGGUGAUGCUGCACAGGAUGCCUCCUCCUGAGCAUGAUGGUUAACCUCGACUAUCAACGUGAUGGGAUUUAGAAGUGGAACAAAACCUGUGCAACUCCUAUAAUUCUGAAUACUUUUGUAGCCAGAGAAGGUCCCGUGGGUUAGGAGGCCUGCUUGUGAAAUAUAAUACAAAUGAUGACUGUGGAAAAAGGCUUUUGAGAGAAGGAAGAGGCAACAUGUACUAGCGCUUGAAAUGGGUAUCGGGGCAGCAGUAAGUGUGGCUGGAAUGAUGGAAAUGUCCAUGUACUGCAGUUACCCAUACUGCAUUCUUCUUCUCUGAAUACACCGCAGUUCCUCUCGCUCCCUUUCAAGAGGUUUUCAUGUUUGAGAUGAAUGGUUCCUCUACAGCAAAUGAAGCUACCAGGCCAAUGUUCUUCCAGUGUCUUAUUACGUGGUCCUUUGUUGGCUUCCUGACUUCUGGGUGCUGAGGAGACUUCUGGAAGAAGAAAUGGCACAGCAGAUUUAUUGACUGGUCACUUUCCUCCUGGGAGUUUGGUGACUGGUUAGGACACAGCAGAGAACCACACAAAGCCGACUUGCCAUGCCGCUGCUCAGGGCGGGCACACUGGGGGAGAAACUUGUGGACUCAGAAUUUCCUGGCUCUCAUUCCUCUUUGUUUAGUCCCACACCAGCUUUAUGGAGUGUCUGGCUCCAGUGUACCACACAAUGUCAUAUGUGAAAUCUUAAGAUAAACCAGAUAUAUUCUCUUCUAAGUCCUUCAGGAUCACAGGGUCCCGCUACACCAUGACUCCUUUCCAGUUGCACCACAAGCCAGUAGGGCAGUAUUGAGUAUGGCGAGGCUGCAGGGCUGAGGUGUGCACAUUUCAGUUUGGUUAAACUUCUACUUUGGCUUUUGGAUGGCAUUGGGAACAAAAUGGGCUUGAGUUUCUUCUCUACCAUUCUAGGAGUCUAUGGCCCUUAAUGUUCCCAGUAGCCGUAAGAGAACCUGGGGUUUACACAGGGAUAUCAGACUGGGAUUUUUUUUUUUUUUUGGUUUUUCGAGAUAGGAUUUCUCCAUGUAGUUUUGGUGCCUUUCCUGGAUCUCGCUCUGUAGACCAUGCUGGCCUCAAACUCACAGAGAUCUGCCUAACUCUGCCUCCCGAGUGCUGGGAUUACAGGUGUGCACCACCACUGCUCAGCCAGACUGGGAUCUUGAAAGUGAUAGAAUGAUAAUUUUAAGACACUGUUGCACCAUAGUGUUUCAUGUCAGUCCUGACUUUGAAACCCACAGACUCAUUAGCAGGAUGUUACACUGGGCAAAGUGGGCAUGGCUUCACGGAAACAUGGUAUAGUCAUCUGAAAGAAUAUGGCCCCCAUAGGAAGUGGCACUAUUAGGAGGUGAGGCCUUGUUGGAAGAAGUGUGUCAAUGUGGGGGGCAGGCUUUGAGGUCUCCUAUGCAAGCUAUGCCCAGUGAGGACACAGUUGUUUCUGCUGCCUGCAGAUCAAGAUGUAGAACUCUCAGCUCCUCCAGCACCAUGUCUGCCUGUGUGUUGCCAUGUCCUGCCAUGAUGAUCAUGGACUAAACCUCUGAAACUGUAAGCCAGCCCCAAUGAAAUAUUUUCCUUUAUAAGAGUUGCCUUGUUCGUGGUGUCUCUUCACAGCAACAGAAACCCUAACUGAGAUACCUGUGAUGUGUGUGACUGAAGGUUUUUCUCUCGGGUUAAUCUGAUCAGAAAAAUCAGAGGAAGACAAGAAAACAAGGGGUCUUUGGCAUUUUAAUGAGUGGAGUUUGGAAAUAGUAAUUAGAACCAUGUAUUUGGGAAGCAAGAUUGAUUAGUGGAGUGAAGGACACCAUUUACAUUACCUAGCUCAUGGUUAGUCUCAUCCCGUCAGAACCCUGUGUUCACACAUGGAACUGUCUGCAGCACUUCCAAUAGGUGGAAUGGAGACCAUAGAACCAUGCACCAUCAGAAAGAACGCUGUCUAGCUUCCUCUGGUCUUAGAAUCCUCCAUCCUCACUUGUGGCCUCUAGGGUUCCAGCUCUGGGUAGAGCUGAGUGUCAUCCUGUCUCCAGCUUUACAUACGGGCUGAUUUCAUGUUUCUAGUCUGGCUCAGUCUCCUGUCAUUUUGAAACUGUUUUCCAUUUAGGCUAUGUAAAUCACAGUCUUGUGCUGCAUGAUAACAUUUCAGUCAGUGACAGAAUGUAUGGUGGUCCCAUAAGUUUAUAACGAGGCCAAGAAAUUCCUGUCACCUAGUGAUGUCAGCCAUCAUAACACAUUCCACAUGUGUUUGUGAUGAUGCUGCUGGCCACCACCAAUGUGUGGUAAGGCACAUAAAAGUAAAACUUGUGUAACUAUGGGACAGCACACAAUACAUGGAAAUGGUAAUAAAUGUUACUGGUUUAUAUAAUUAUUGCACCACACUAUACAUAUUAACCUUUGUUUUAGAGUGUCCUGCUUUGCAUAUAAAAAGUUGACUGUAAAGCGGUGUAAUUGCUAUUUGAAUGGCAGCCUCAGUGUUUUGUGCUUGCUCCAUUCCU
This is a long non-coding RNA of Peromyscus californicus insignis, 10936 nucleotides long. RefSeq lists it as uncharacterized. The transcript is spliced from 12 exons. The record is from RefSeq and is a predicted model, not a curated record. Lineage: Eukaryota; Metazoa; Chordata; Mammalia; Rodentia; Cricetidae.